This 271-nucleotide long non-coding RNA is filed under the name Prunus persica (peach). RNAcentral's name for it is "long non-coding RNA (PPER_LNC006743)". The record is from RNAcentral. Lineage: Eukaryota; Viridiplantae; Streptophyta; Magnoliopsida; Rosales; Rosaceae.
AAUUUCACAACAAAAAAGAAAGAAGGAAUCGGGUGGGGAAAGAAAACUAAGGGGUUUUUCCAGUUUGGUUUCAUGCAAGUCUUGAUCCUCACAGGUACUAGGUUUCUCAAUUUUUAAGUUUGGAUUUUAUGAGUUGUGCUUACGUAAUCUUGGUUUUGUCAAGGGAAAUUUGUUUCUUACCGCAGAAAGUUCUUCAUUUUUAUGAUAGCAACACUAAAUCAAAUGGCAAUACGAACUUUCAUCGAAUCCUUUUAGUUGAGAACCCAAUAAU